ACCUGACAUUUAACUCCUGAAGCAGCCACUCUACACUGAGCCGUAUCACCACAAACGAGCUCCACAGAGACAGAACAAACAAUGUAUAAUGUUCUCAAACCCUCCUUGAUUAAAACUUUAAGCCUGUCACUGAUUCUGUGGAAUUCCUGGCCCGUGGCUGAUGAAAGUGGCGAUAAUUCGGGAUGCUACUGAGAACCUGGAGGCCAAGUGAAAUACAGGAGUGGCCACGUUACAAACUAGCCACCUGCCCAGCCCAUCAAGCGCCACCUGAGGUACAGUCCGCGGGACCCACAUCCAUCUCACCAGCCACCGCGUAAACAACAGAACCCGAGUGGGAGCAAGUUCUUCACCAUCUCCAAUGAAGUCUGCGCGUUAACCUCAGAUUACCGAGCCUGUUCUACACACAUUCUACAGGUUACUGGCAGUCCAGUUCACGUACAGAUUCCUCCCAAAUUAUAACAGGCCGGGAGCAGUUCACUCAGUAAAAAUACAGUGAACGAUGGAUGUUGUUUUAAUCUGUUCAGUGACAGAAUUGACAUGAAAUAUUUAUUAUAACCCCACGGUGCCAGAGAUUCGGUCACAGUCUGAAUUUUUCAUCCGAUGAACCUGAUUAUGGAUUGUAAAUCUUUCACCGUUUCACAAACAGCACAGCCCCUUUCAAUGUUAUUUUGCCAGAUUAAUUUCGGUGAAACUUCCUCCAAUUUUCUCCACAAAUGUUAUUUCCCACUUGUGUCCGGAGCUGGAGAUCAACAAUACAAAAUAACAGGCAAAAAUCCACUCAGGGCCGCCAGUCCCCGUGAAAGAGGAGCAGAGUGAAUUUCCCCUCCACAAACGCUACAUCACCUGAUGAGCUUUUGCAACAACCCCUGUUAUUAACUGCAGGUGACUUUAUUGAACACAGUCCAGUCAGUUUACACUUACUGACAGAGAAGCUAUGGACCAAAGACGGAGGCUGGUUAAAGAAGUUAACUAAUGAAACCAUUCAGCUUUGUACAGUCGGGCGGGUGUGUACAGUCGAGUCGCUGACUGGACCUCAACGGCCACGGCGGAGUCUCCGGAGCGAGCGGGGAACGAACUUCUACUCGGCUGCUUCCGGCCCCCAGACCGCGUGUUUGGGAACAUGUUAAACCGAGCUCAGCGGUGUGGAGGGAAUUGUGUUGGCGUGACAGGGCAAAUCUUACUGAGGUGUCAUCUCUUGGAAGACGAAUAAACUUUGAUCUAAUCGCAUAGAGAUAACGGCAAUAAAAUUUACACGGCGGAGACAAGUGCAGUAAAUUCUAAUAGUAUCAAGAUAUUCGAAUAUUAAUCCACGAAUGUACGGAAAUUCGAAUCUGAAGGCAGAUGCCAACCAAAAUGUUACUUAAUAGUAGUGAGCUGUUUGCAGCAGAACCCAGCAGCGUAAGGACAACAUAACAGAGAUGAUUGCAACCGAGUCGAGCAGCCGGGAAGCAUUGUAGCAUUGUAGUGUAGUGUAGAACUAAUUGUGAAAAUAAAAUGGAUAGGCGA
Long non-coding RNA from Amblyraja radiata (thorny skate), 1506 nucleotides. RefSeq lists it as uncharacterized. The record is from RefSeq and is a predicted model, not a curated record. Lineage: Eukaryota; Metazoa; Chordata; Chondrichthyes; Rajiformes; Rajidae. The transcript is spliced from 3 exons.